GUGGUGUUUCAACUGUGGCUGCAAAACUGAGCAGUGUACUGCAGUCCAUGGCACCACACAGAGCGACACUGGUUCCUGCCGACAGGGCCCGCCAAGUUAUUGGGCUCCCUGUGCGAUGGUUCCAUACAGA
This is a non-coding RNA of Astyanax mexicanus (Mexican tetra), 130 nucleotides long. NCBI's taxonomy places the organism in Eukaryota, Metazoa, Chordata, Actinopteri, Characiformes, Acestrorhamphidae. The record is from Ensembl.